This 454-nucleotide ribosomal RNA is filed under the name uncultured bacterium. Its description in RNAcentral is "bacterial SSU rRNA". It matches the Rfam family "Bacterial small subunit ribosomal RNA", at positions 340 to 786 of the family's 1533-position model. The record is from RNAcentral.
UACGGAAGGCAGCAGUGGGGAAUAUUGCACAAUGGGCGCAAGCCUGAUGCAGCCAUGCCGCGUGUAUGAAAAAGGCCUUCGGGUUGUAAAGUACUUUCAGUCGUGAGGAAGGUGUUAAGGUUAAUAACCUUAGCAAUUGACGUUAGCGACAGAAGAAGCACCGGCUAACUCCGUGCCAGCAGCCGCGGUAAUACGGAGGGUGCGAGCGUUAAUCGGAAUUACUGGGCGUAAAGGGCACGCAGGCGGUUAAUUAAGUUGGAUGUGAAUCCCCGGGCUUAACCUGGGAAUGGCAUUCAAGACUGGUUAGCUAGAGUCUUGUAGAGGGGGUUAGAAUUCCAUGUGUAGCGGUGAAAUGCGUAGAGAUGUGGAGGAAUACCGGUGGCGAAGGCGGCCCCUGGACAAAGACUGACGCUCAUGUGCGAAAGCGUGGGGAGCAAACGAGGGAUUAGAUACC